AUGCUGCCUGAAGGACAGGCUAGAAAGACGCAAAGCAAGAAAGUCUCUCAGUUCCUUACAGUUACCAGAGUAACCCGGACAUCAGCCAUGUUGCCUGGGAAUACCCAGAGUAAGCCACAGUGGCAGGACAAGAAUGACAGCCACGUCAUCUGGAGAAGGCAGCCAGGGAAGCAGUCAAGAGAAAACACUUCUGUGGGUGACUUGAAGAAGCUGGUUACCAUAUGGUUGUUGGCCAAGCUUUGCUGGCUUUUUUGCAGCUUUCUGUUCCAGCAAGUUACUCCCCCAAAUCCUACCUAUUUUAAAAGCAACUCUCACAGGAAGAAAGGCUUGGCAGCCAACAGAUGACCACCACAUUCUCUCCCCCAAGACGUCUGAUUUCAGAAGAAAUUCAAGAAUGAAUAUUUACUGCCUAUAUCUGAUAGAAGAAUCCCAUUUCUCAUGAGAAAAUCAAUGGAUAAUACUCAGCGUUUCUUCAAAACCAAAACUUCCUUUAUCAAAACCUGUAGAACACAGGUUUCAGCAAACUUCGUAAAAUAUUCAGAUCAAAUUUGGGUUUGUUAUUGAUUUUCAGGGGGAUUAAUCUCUUUUAUAUUAAAAGCUCAUUUGGUCACAAGUAAUGGAAAUUCAUUUUGUCUUGCUUUGGAGUGGGGAAUGUGCAAGAACACACUAUGGAACUCAGAACGGAGGAAACAGUUCAGUACGGAUGAGACCCAAGCACUAGAAAGCCAG
Long non-coding RNA from Pan paniscus (pygmy chimpanzee), 729 nucleotides. Lineage: Eukaryota; Metazoa; Chordata; Mammalia; Primates; Hominidae. The record is from Ensembl.